This 650-nucleotide long non-coding RNA is filed under the name Pan troglodytes (chimpanzee). RNAcentral's name for it is "long non-coding RNA NONPTRT000467". Lineage: Eukaryota; Metazoa; Chordata; Mammalia; Primates; Hominidae. The record is from RNAcentral.
CAGAUAACUCCUCCCAAUAAACUUCCUGCAUGUGAAUCUCCAACACAGAGUGUUUUUGCCAAGAACUCAACCUAUGGCAGCAGCAAACCUCUGUGGCUCAAGGAAAUCUCCAUUGGAUGUCCUGUCUCAUCUACUCAAGACCAGUAAGCAACACUUACUUAAAAAGAACAUAAUCUCUUUAUUUCUGCUUGGGAUACAAAUGUUCAGUUUGGAUGAUGAGAAUGAGGCAAGUACUGGAGACAAUGGCUGGCUCUCCUGUUUGUCCCAAUAAACUCCAAUGGAGGAAGAAGCUAAACAGGUUUUGGAUGGUUUCGGUCUACUGCAUCUAGCUUAUCAAAUCUACAGCCUGGUACUUCUGGAACAAGACUGCCCUGCCCCAGUGAUGACAGUUAAAGAUGGCAAAAAUGAAGAAUUCAACAUGUAUACGCAGUGCAGUCUGAUGUCUUCAGAUGUUCUCUAAAAUUCUGUAUUUGGUCAGAGCUGGGAGUGAGAUCAGGGUGCUUGCACAUUUCUGCUCCACUGCUCCUGAUUCUGCUUUGCUGCCUUGGAGGGAGAGUAGAUUUAGAUCUGGGGGCUGGUGGGGGCCAUGGCCUUGGCAGCUUGCUGGGCUAACCAGUACUUAUAUCUUUUGGUCUUGGGCUUCUCAAAGU